AAGAAGUCUGGAGACAGGUGCUGCAUGGCUGUCGUCAGCUCGUGUCGUGAGAUGUUGGGUUAAGUCCCGCAACGAGCGCAACCCUUGCCUUUAGUUGCCAGCAGUUCGGCUGGGCACUCUAAAGGGACUGCCGGUGUUAAACCGGAGGAAGGUGGGGGAUGACGUCAAGUCCUCAUGGCCUUUAUGACCAGGGCUACACACGUACUACAAUGGCCGAUACAAAGGGCAGCGACACUGCGAGGUGAAGCCAAUCCCGUAAAAUCGGUCUCAGUCCGGAUUGGAGUCUGCAACUCGACUCCAUGAAGUUGGAAUCGCUAGUAAUCGUGGAUCAGCAUGCCACGGUGAAUACGUUCCCGGGCCUU
Molecule: ribosomal RNA, 362 nt
Filed under: uncultured Desulfobulbus sp.
Lineage: Bacteria; Pseudomonadati; Thermodesulfobacteriota; Desulfobulbia; Desulfobulbales; Desulfobulbaceae
Description: bacterial SSU rRNA
Rfam family: Bacterial small subunit ribosomal RNA
Source: RNAcentral